UAAUACGUAGGGUGCAAGCGUUAAUCGGAAUUACUGGGCGUAAAGGGUGCGCAGGCGGUUUUGUAAGUCAGAUGUGAAAUCCCCGGGCUUAACCUGGGAACUGCGUUUGAAACUACAAGACUAGAGUGUGGCAGAGGGGGGUGGAAUUCCAUGUGUAGCAGUGAAAUGCGUAGAGAUAUGGAAGAACAUCGAUGGCGAAGGCAACCCCCUGGGUUAACACUGACGCUCAGGCACGAAAGCGUGGGGAGCAAACAGGAUUAGAUACCCUGGUAGUCCACGCCCUAAACUAUGUCAACUAGUUGUCGGGCCUUAAUAGGCUUGGUAACGCAGCUAACGCGUGAAGUUGACCGCCUGGGGAGUACGGUCGCAAGAUUAAAACUUAAAGGAAUUGACGG
Molecule: ribosomal RNA, 395 nt
Filed under: uncultured bacterium
Lineage: Bacteria
Description: bacterial SSU rRNA
Rfam family: Bacterial small subunit ribosomal RNA
Source: RNAcentral